Capra hircus (goat) is the source of this 928-nucleotide long non-coding RNA. The record is from Ensembl. NCBI's taxonomy places the organism in Eukaryota, Metazoa, Chordata, Mammalia, Artiodactyla, Bovidae.
CUGCUGCACACGGUGCGGGACGCCAUGAGGGGACGUCCCGAAGGCCAUCAUGAGGGGACCCAAAGAGGAGACACUCCGAAGGGAGAAGCGUGAGAGGAGGCCGCAAGGGGACACCAUGAGGGGAACAUCAUCCGGGGAUGUCACGAGAGGACACCAUGAGGGCACCCGUGAAGGGAACCUCGUGAGGAGACGCCAUGGGGGAAACCACUGGGCACACUACGAGGGGAACAGGCUCAGGGGACGCCACGAGGGGUAAUAAGGAGGAGACCCCGCGAGGAAGGAAACAUCAACCGGGGAAGCCAGGAGGGAACAUCCUGAGGAGAUGCCGUGAGGAGAGUAUCAAGGGAACAGCCAUGGGCGGAACUUGAGGGGAACCGUGAGAGGACUCUGUGAGGGGAUAUCAGGGGGCUGUGCCCUGAGGGGACAUUGACAGGCACACAAAGUGCCCAACAGAGGCAUAGACAUGCCUCCUACUUUACCUAAUGCCUCAGCUCCCAGCUCCAUGUGGGAAGAAUAUGCCCACCCCUGGCCGAAUGAGGACCUCGCCUGGAAGCAGGAGCAUAGAUAUGGCGAGGACCCUGCUCAGGUGCCCAGUUCCUGCUGUGCGUUGCUCUUUUGUUUAAGACCCACAACUAGACAAAAGCAGCACAUAAAGACAAGACUGAAUCACACCGAUGAUGAUAUCAGCUGGCAUCCUGUGAUAAUAAGCGGGAGCCUCCAAAAGUGCAAUUUGAAGUCUCACCUGCGUGAUGCGGACCUUUUCCCAGUUGGGACUCCAUAUGGCUGUGGUCGAGGGACUUCCCAGCUCUGUCUAAGUCUGGAUGUUGGUCGGCCCCCUGUGGUGAUGUAUCUGCUGUUACUUUUCUCUAUUGUUUCUAUUUCUCUUCUUUUAAUGGCUGUAUAUUGAAAUUAAGCCAAAUAAUCUAGU